CACCAGUGAGGGUCCUAACAGUACAAUGGAUGUAUUGAGCCUCCUCCUGUAAAUCAGUGAUCAAAAAUUUUGUAGCAUCCCAUAAAAUCCAAAUUCUACCAUUCAUUGCACCCCUGUAGUUAGUUCGUACAUUCCAGUUAGGCAACAAGAAACUAGAUAUUUUUUGUGCAUUCUUCUGUUUAACCUUUGUCUCUACCAGACCAACAAGGUCAAAUUUAUUGAUUCUAAAUCAAUGUCAUUGAAGCCAUAUACCACUGUGAGGUAGCAGAUAAUUACACCAGUGAGGGUCCUAGCAGUGCAAUGAAUGAAUUGAGCCUCCUCCUGUAAACCAGUGAUCAAACUUUUUGUAGGAUCCCAUAAGAUCCAUAUUCUACCAUUCACUGCUCCCCUGUAGUUAGUUAGUACACUCCAGUUAGGCAACAAGAAACUAGAUAUUCUCUCUGCAUUCUUCUGUUUAACCUUUGUCUCUACUAGACCAACAAGGCCAAAUUUAUUGAUUCUAAAGUAUUCUUUGGCUUCCUUUUGUUUGUACCAUUUAUUUACACCCCUAAUAUUCCAAAAUAAC
This 565-nucleotide long non-coding RNA is filed under the name Nicotiana benthamiana. RNAcentral's name for it is "long non-coding RNA (NBEN_LNC024860)". Lineage: Eukaryota; Viridiplantae; Streptophyta; Magnoliopsida; Solanales; Solanaceae. The record is from RNAcentral.